GGCAGUGUAGUAUAAUGGGUAAGAAACUGGUCUUCUAAGCUAAAGGUCACGGGUUCAAUUCCCCGGUAGGACACUGCCG
This 79-nucleotide transfer RNA is filed under the name Anguilla anguilla (European eel). RNAcentral's name for it is "tRNA-OTHER". Lineage: Eukaryota; Metazoa; Chordata; Actinopteri; Anguilliformes; Anguillidae. The record is from RNAcentral.